Long non-coding RNA from Poecilia latipinna (sailfin molly), 100 nucleotides. RefSeq lists it as uncharacterized. The record is from RefSeq and is a predicted model, not a curated record. NCBI's taxonomy places the organism in Eukaryota, Metazoa, Chordata, Actinopteri, Cyprinodontiformes, Poeciliidae. The transcript is spliced from 3 exons.
UCCAGUCCACUUGACACAGUAACAAUCACCUGUUAGAGCCUUUGUCAGUUUUGCUCGUACAAAUGACAAAGUCUUAUGGAGAGAAAUGAUGAGAUGACAA